Contarinia nasturtii (swede midge) is the source of this 502-nucleotide long non-coding RNA. RefSeq lists it as uncharacterized. The record is from RefSeq and is a predicted model, not a curated record. The transcript has 3 exons. NCBI's taxonomy places the organism in Eukaryota, Metazoa, Arthropoda, Insecta, Diptera, Cecidomyiidae.
UUUGCUGUUUAUAGUUAUAUCUCAAAUCAUUUUUAUUUCUAAGAAUUAACACGUUUGUAUGUGAUUAUUUGUCUCCCAAAUAGCCGAUCCUGGCUACAUAGUAAAGCUUGAGUUUCGAAAUAGAUUCAACAUUGAACCGUCACCAACAUGCGAAUAUGAUUAUUUGGAGAUACGGGACGGUAAAUAUGGAUUCUCGACACUUAAAGGAAAAUAUUGUGGUACUAAGUUUCCAGAUGAAAUAAUCUCAAGUGAUAGAUAUUUGUGGUUGCGUUUCCGUUCGGACGAUAAUAUUGAGUAUGAAGGUUUCGAAGCCGUAUAUGAAUUUAUACCACGUUCAAAGAAAAUAGAUGCAAUUGAAGAGUGUUCAAUCUUGAAAAAUAAUGCAGAUUCAGGAAAAAUAUCAAUAGAGGAUAUAAAUGAAACAAUUCUUAGGCAGGUCAACGAGUCAGCUAUAAUUCCAUUAGAUUGUUUAUGGACGAUUAGUGUGAAAGAAGAUUGGCAG